RNAcentral lists this ribosomal RNA (465 nucleotides) under uncultured bacterium. RNAcentral's name for it is "partial 16S ribosomal RNA". It matches the Rfam family "Bacterial small subunit ribosomal RNA", at positions 338 to 795 of the family's 1533-position model. The record is from RNAcentral.
CCUACGGGAGGCAGCAGUAGGGAAUCUUCCACAAUGGGCGAAAGCCUGAUGGAGCAACGCCGCGUGGGUGAAGAAGGUCUUCGGAUCGUAAAACCCUGUUGUUAGAGAAGAAAGUGCGUGAGAGUAACUGUUCACGUUUCGACGGUAUCUAACCAGAAAGCCACGGCUAACUACGUGCCCGCAGCCGCGGUAAUACGGAGGUGGCAAGCGUUAUCCGGAUGUAUUGGGCGUAAAGGGAACGCAGUCGGUCUUUUAAGUCUGAUGUGAAAGCCUUCGGCUUAACCGGAGUAGUGCAUUGGAAACUGGGAGACUUGAGUGCAGAAGAGGAGAGUGGAACUCCAUGUGUAGCGGUGAAAUGCGUAGAUAUAUGGAAGAACACCAGUGGCGAAAGCGGCUCUCUGGUCUGUAACUGACGCUGAGGUUCGAAAGCGUGGGUAGCAAACAGGAUUAGAUACCCCUGUAGUC